This 6218-nucleotide long non-coding RNA is filed under the name Sus scrofa (pig). RNAcentral describes it as "lncRNA (ENSSSCG00065078737.1)". Lineage: Eukaryota; Metazoa; Chordata; Mammalia; Artiodactyla; Suidae. The record is from RNAcentral.
UUCAAUCGAGCUGCAGUUGCCACCCUACACCAAGCACAGCGAUGCCGAUGCCGGAUCGGAGCCGCAUCUGCGACCUGUGCUGCGGUUGCAGCAGAGCUGGAUCAAGGCCAGGGAUCAAAUCUGCAUCUUCAUGGAUACUAGUUGGGUUUUUAUUUUUUUGCUCUUUAGGGUCACACCUGCAACAUAUGGAAGUUUCCAGGCUAAGGGUCAAAUUGGAGCUGCAUCUGCUGGCCUACACCACAGCCACAGCCACCCUGACUCCUUAACCUACUGACUGAGGCCAGGGAUCGAACCCGAAUCUUCAUGGAUACUAGUCUGGUUCGGAACCUACUGAGCCACAGCGGGAACUCCACCGGUUGCGUCCUUAACCCUCUGAGCUGCGCUGGGAAUGCCUCUUUUGUGCGGGUUAUUUCUGGACUCGAUUCUGCUCUGUUGGUCUGUGGGUCUAUCCCAUCGCCUAUACACGACAGGCAAAAACUUCCAAGAUGAUUUCUCCAACUGAAAAAAAGUGUUUUUGGUGUUUAGUCAUUUUUUUGGUUUUGUUUUGUUUUUGUUUUUGUUUUCUGUUUUUUUGUCUUUUUGCCAUUUCUUGGGCCGCUCCCACGGCAUAUGGGGGUUCCCAGGCUAGGGGUCGAAUCGGAGCUGAAGCCACUGGCCUACGCCAGAGCCACAGCAACGCGGGAUCCGAGCCGCGUCUGCGACCUACACCACAGCUCACGGCAACGCCGGAUCGUUAACCCACUGAGCAAGGACAGGGACCGAACCCGCAACCUCAUGGUUCCUAGUUGGGUUCGUUAACCACUGCGCCACGCCGGGAACUCCCAUUUGUUUUUUUUUUUUUUUUUAAUACAUUUUAGAAUCAACUUGUCCAUGUCUACAAAUAAUUCUAGUAUUUAAUUUGAGGAGUUCCCUCAUGGCUCACAGGGGUAAGAAUCUGGCAUUUCACUGCAGUAGCUCUGGUAACUGUGACACAGGUUCCAUCCUGGCCGGGAACUUGCACAUGCCAAAAAAACCAAUAAUUUGAAUCUCCUUAAAACUGUAGGUCAGUUUGGCGGGGAGCCGAGGUAUUUGCUGUUGACUCUUCCAGUCUGUGAACACGGCGUGUGUUUCUCUCUGGUCGUCUUUGAUUUGUGGAUUCAUUGGCAUUUUCCCGGUGAGUCGUCAUAUUGUCUGCGAGUAGGGCAUUUUUUGGUUUGUCUUCCACCCUGGGUGCCUUUUCCUUCCUUUGCUUGCUUGCUUUCGUGCGCUUGGUAGGGCUUUAGAACCGUUUCCUUGUUCUUGAUUUUCGGGGGAGCAUCCAGCCUGUCGCAGUGUGUCUGCUGGAGGGUUUUCCUCAGAUGCCCGUUGCCAUGAUGGGGAAGUUUUUAAGUUUCUAUUGACAGAUAUGAAAGUUUGUCAGGUGCUUUUUUGGAUCGGUUGGUGUGGCCGUGUUUUUCUCUUCUUUAGACUGUCACUGUGGUAGGUGACGUCAUUGAUCUUUUCAUACUGAACCAGCUUUGCAUUCCUGGACUAGACCCCACUUGGUCAGGGUGUGUGUGUGUGUGUGUGUGUGAGACCCCACUUGGUCAGGGGGUGUGUGUGUGUGUGUGUGUGUGNGUGUGUGUGUGUGUGUGUGUGACCCCAUUUGGUCAGGGUGUAUGACCCCACUUGGUCAGGGGGGUGUGUGUGUGUGUGACCCCACUUGGUCAGGGUGUGUGUGUGUGUGUGUGUGUGUGUGUGUGUGUGUGUGUGUGUGACCCCAUUUGGUCAGGGUGUAUGACCCCACUUGGUCAGGGGUGUGUGUGUGUGUGUGAGAGAGACCCCACUUGGUCAGGGGUGUGUGUGUGUGUGUGUGUGUGUGUGUGUGUGUGUGAGUGAGACGUUCCCGGGCCGGGGCUGGAACCUGUGCCUUAGCAGCCCCUUGGGCCGUUGCGGUGGCCCUGCUGGCCCCUUGGCCCUGCCCCAGAGGAGGGCGCACCUUACCCGCGUUUUGUUGAGCGUUGCUGUGUCUGUUUUAUAAGGACAUGUCCAUCGUUCUUGUUUUAUGACAUCCUUGCCUGGCUUUUCCUUGAUGACACCUUUGCUUGUUCUUCUUGCUGUACCUUGUCAGCCAGACUCUGGCCAAAUGGACAGGCUCUUGUCUUUCUUGCUCUCAGCUGGCUUCCGUCCGCUUUGGCGUCCCAGCGCCUUUGUCUGGCACUGGGGCAGCCACGUUGUUCUGCUUGUGUGGUGGGGCCUGCACGGCGUGGACGGGCCACGUCCUUCUCACCUCUGUGCCUUUGUUGGGCUGUUUCUGCGUAGCGUUUCUCUUCCUUCUUUGCCCAGUGACCGCUGCGUCUUCCCAGGAGGGGUCGCGUGCUGUCUCUGUGGGAAGCAUUGCCAUCACCAUGCUAGGCCUGGCUGUUGCUGCCCGUCUGGGUUCCCCUGGAGCCUGUCCUCAGCUGGGCCAGAGACGUUAGACUGGGUUGCAGUCAUUGCUUUAUCGGAACGUUUUCUUCCUUUUUCUUUUUGUUCAUUUACUUAUUUUUUAGAUACUGUUUCAUUAUUUAUUUUACUGCCCUUGCUUAUGGGCCUUCCGGGCUCUCUGCCGUCCACGUGUGGCACUGUCGUGGUGUCUCCUUCCCUCCGGCUUUGGUGAACGUGCUCACCCCCUUGCCUGCAGCACUCACCUUGAUGCAGGAGAGUCUGUGUCCACUUCUUCCUCUCAAGCUCAGACCUGACACUUGGCGUCUUUCCCAUGUGGUGUUAGAGAGUUCCCAUCACAGCUGGGAACUCAAAUGGUUGAUCAGUGAGUCUGACGUUGUGGCUGUUCUCACUAGAAUGACCAUUGCGGCAGGUGAGCUCAGCUUGUCUUGUCCCUGUUGAAAGUAAACUCUUCUUUCCAAACUACAAAAUAGUUCUUGGGUUUACUGGUUGGUUUGCUGGAAAACUUAUCAAAAGAAGCUUUUGUCUAAAGCUCUCAGGCCAGCUGUAUGUGUUUGUACGCUGGACACAUCCGUCAGGUAAGAAGAUUGGCUAGGGAGUUCCCUGGUGGCCUAGCCAGUCGAGCAUCCUGUAUUGUCACAGGUUUGAUCCCUGGCCCAGGAACUUCUGCAUCUGCAGGGGUGUCCCCCCCCAAAAAAAGAUUGUGCUGGAUAAUCUCAAAGGUCUUUUACAACUUGUGAUUCUUGGAUCGUCAGUCCCUUGGUCACGCCCUUUCGGGGACCUCCGAUUGCCCGCUGCAGGGUCUGUAAUGUGUGCAGUGCGUUAGCGGCGCACUUGGAGCAGCUCAGACGCGCCCAGCGCCGCAGGAGAACGUGUUUGUUCUCGAGUCCUCCAGGAAGACUCUCUGCUGUACGGGUGUGGAGUGUGUGGAUGGGGACGGAUGCCCUCACUUGAUCUGGUUUCAGAGCCUGGAGUCUUGCGUGAUUCCUGAGGUAUCUGGCAUCAGAAUCCGUGUGUUUACUCAGAGUCUUGAAGCCUAUGGCAGUCAGCGGGGGCUGGUUAAGUACGUGACUUCUGCUGUUUGAUUUAAUGAGGUAGAGUCUUAAAAGAAACCCUGGAUUGAAGAUAAGGCCCGUAAUGAAAGCAUAUGAGACAGCAAGGAAAUUGAUGGUAGCGCCGCUACUGUCUCCUGCAUAAGCUUUUUAUUGACCACACAGUGAGCUUAAGAAAGUGAGCUAAGUUGGGAGUUCCCGUCGUGGCGCAGUGGUUAAAGAAUCUGACUAGGAACCAUGAGGUUGCGGGUUCGGUCCCUGCCCUUGCUCGGUGGGUUAAGGAUCCGGCGUUGCCAUGAGCUGUGGUGUGGGUUGCAGACGCAGCUCGGAUCCCGCAUGACUGUGGCUGUGGUGGAGGCCAGCGGCUACAGCUCCAAUUAAACACUUAGCCUGGGAACCUGCAUAUGCCGCAGGAGCGGCUCAAGAAAUGGCAAAAAGACAAAGUGAGCUAAGUAGACUCUUAGCUGACUCUUUGAAAUGUGCAGUUAUAUCCACUUUUAUUAUUAGCUAGCCAUGUCUGGCGUUCCUGUCGUGGCUCAGUGGAAAGGAACCUGACUAGGAUCCAUGAGGACGUGGGUUCUGAUCCCUGGCCCUGCUCAGUGGGUUAAGCAUCUGGCAUUUCCCUGAGCUGUGGUGUCGGUCGCAGAUGCAGCUCGGAUCCCGCAUGACUGUGGCUGUGGUGGAGGCCGGCGGCUACAGCUCUGAUUGGACCCCUAGCCUGGGAACCUCCAUAUGCUGCAGGUCCAGCUCUAAAAAGAAAAAAAAUAGUAAAAACACAACCCCCUCCCCCACAAGUGGUUUUCUUGGAUGUUAGAGAAGGAAGUACCUGGUCUUCACAGUCAGGCAUCCAGAAGAGAAACACCACCUCUGCCCCCUUUUUUAGCAGCAUUUCCAGUCAUCCUCCGCUCUCUCUAGUACUUUGUACAGUUCCCCUGAGCCUAAGGAUGAGCUCCUGAGGAAAUGCGCAUUUCUCCCACCCCAGCCCCUUUUUCGGCUGCACCCACGGCGUAUGGACGUUCCCGGGCCAGGGAGCAACUCUGAGCCACGUCUGGGCCCUUCGCCACAACUGCAGCAGCACUGGAGCUGGGGAUCAAACGGGCAGCACCACAGAGACCAGCCGGGCCAUGACCUUGCUGCAGCACAGCGGGAGCUCGGAGGCGCACACUUCUGUGAGGCCGAGUCGCAGCAGCUCUGGCUAAUUUGCACAGACAGGUGUUGACUGGUGCAUCGGGAACUUACAGCGUUUUGAAAGGGCUGCUGGAACCAACUCUCUAGCUGGGCUUCCGAGAAGGAGUUCCAGAACCAGGUGUAAGCCCCCAGCUGUGGAGCGAGUCAAGCCAGUCUGCAGCACCAGCCAUGCUGGUCUGCCGCUGAAAGCCAGGUCCCUGGCCAGAACCCAGCUCUCUAGGGGGCUUGAGGGAGUAGCCACAAGGCGACAUACCUCAGGGGAAGCGAAAUGGCAACAAAGUCACCACACGGCUUUGUUAGCAAAUACUUUUGGAGUAUUCACAGGACAUACUGCCGAAGAUUUGAAAGAAGUAAAUUGUUAGAAUAAAUGACGAUGUGUGGUGGGCUUGCCUGGGAUGCUGGAAACAGAUGUUUCUUACUGGUUUUUUUUAAGGGCUGCACCUGUGGCAUAUGGAGGUUCCCAGGCUGGGGUCCAAUCAGGCCUACCCCACAGCCACAGCAACACAGGAUCCGAGCCGCAUCUGUGACCUACACCACAGCUCACGGCAACACUGGAUCCGUAACCCACUGAGCAAGGCCAGGGAUCGAACCCGCAUCCUCAUGGAUACUAGUUGGAUUCGUUUCCUUUGAGCCACAAUGGGAACUCCUCAGGUAUUUCUAAACAGGUUUCAGCUUCUGCUUUUUGAUAGAUUCAGAUUGAGUACUUUGUGUGAGCUCUUGAAUGGCCUAGAGAAUAUAUAUUCUGAAAUGAUUUCUUUAAUGAACAGGGUUUUGUGGGAAAACUGGAUGUAUCUGGUGAUGGAGCAGCCACUUUAAAAAAAUUCGUGGAUGGGGUGGGAUUGCAGAAAGAACAACACAUGUGAAAUUUAUUCACCACAUGAUGCAUAAGAGAAGUUCUUGAAGCAGCGACUUGAAGCCAGAAGCACAUAGGGGCUCAGCCGACCUUUACACAAGUAGUAAAUCUUUACAGUGCUUUGUAAUGAGAUGGGGAGAAACUGAACAUACUUGGCAAGGCACAGAGGUUUGCUGGUUAUCUUGAGACAGAAUUGAAAGCAUGGCCUAUUUGGAGGUGAAUUGAGGGUUUUCUUUGACGUAAGGGCAAGGGGUCUAAAUUUGCUGACCUUUUCUGCCAUGAGUGGCUGUCAGUAGAAAGCUACCUAGCAAAUUCAGUAUUUUUGAGAAAAUAAACACUUGACCUGCCCUCUCAAGGACUUUUUAACAAUGAACAGAAAAUUGCUUUUUGAAAGAAACUCUUGCCAUAGGGCUUUGAAAGUGAUGUUUCUAGAGUUGUCUCCACUAUUUGUCUUGUUAAGAGUGAUGCAAAUAGUCAUCUUACUGCGCACUUGAACUUGGAAGUGAAACGUUCAGCCUGUUUAACAACUUCCUGUUGUAACACUUAGUUUUGAACUCAUUUUUUACAAAUACAGGGAUGUUGGGAGUUCCCUCUGUGGUGCCCGGGUUAAGGAUCUGGCGUUGCCACAGCUGUGGCUUGGGUCGCAGCUUCGGCUUGGAUUCAGUCCUUGGCCCGGGAACUUUUAUACGCCAUGGGUGUGACCAAAAAAGAAAGAAAAAAAA